Molecule: ribosomal RNA, 307 nt
Filed under: uncultured bacterium
Lineage: Bacteria
Description: bacterial SSU rRNA
Rfam family: Bacterial small subunit ribosomal RNA
Source: RNAcentral
GACGAACGCUGGCGGCGUGCUUAACACAUGCAAGUCGAACGAUGAAGCCCAGCUUGCUGGGUGGAAGAGUGGCGAACGGGUGAGUAACACGUGAGUAACCUGCCCAUCACUCUGGGAUAAGCGCUGGAAACGGCGUCUAAUACUGGAUAUGAACAGCGACCGCAUGGUCAGUUGUUGGAAAGAUUUAUUGGUGAUGGAUGGACUCGCGGCCUAUCAGCUAGUUGGUGAGGUAAUGGCUCACCAAGGCGACGACGGGUAGCCGGCCUGAGAGGGUGACCGGCCACACUGGGACUGAGACACGGCCCAG